Fukomys damarensis (Damara mole-rat) is the source of this 1889-nucleotide long non-coding RNA. RefSeq lists it as uncharacterized. The record is from RefSeq and is a predicted model, not a curated record. Lineage: Eukaryota; Metazoa; Chordata; Mammalia; Rodentia; Bathyergidae. The transcript has 3 exons.
AAAUAACAGGCCAUAAACAAAUCCCUUUUCCUUUCCUCCCUCCUCAACCCCUCCAUCCCUUGUUCCCCUUCCCACGUGAAAAGAUCUCCGUACGUCCUCAUCUCCCUCUCUGCUCAGAAGGCCGUUUCCUGAACGACUCCUCGUUCCAUCCCCCUUUGAAAUAGAUUUCUGCCUAAGACAGUGGCAAAAAUACAUAAAUGAAUAAAAGCAACCCACAAAAUCUCACAAAACAAGACCGCUUCAAGCACAAAAAUGAUGCGUGUAUCUUGCAUCCUGCAUGGCAAACAAUCCCCUAAAAGCGUUCGGGUUAGUUUCUAUACAGAGAGUAGCUUUCCUGUCCACACCAUAGAGCUUAGCUAUGGCUUUUAUUAGUGCACUCCCGUUCCUUUCCUUCCCUGCUCCCCUUCCUUACCCCUUCCGUUUUUCCUUUUCCGUCUUCUUCCCCUUCCCCACUGUCCUCGUUUCACUUUCAGGCCUUUUUGCCUCCUUAGACUGAGAAAUAUGUUGCACUUGUCUUUCUGAAUCUGACUUAUUUCAUUUAGCGCAAUGAACUCCGUUUCCAUCCACUUUCCCGCAAGUGGCAUGACUGCGUCCUUCAUCUGUUAGGCGCAUCUGGGCUGACUUCAUAACGUGGUGCUUGUACAUAAAGCCACAGCCAACACAGGAACGCGGGCACCUCCCUGCUGUGCUGCCUUUACUUCCUUCCGGUGUGUACUCAGAUCUGUCACCAUCUGACUCCUGGUUCUUCCCCAAAGUCAAAAUGACUGUGAAAGGUGAAAGUUCUGAAUCACAACAGCACAACUAAAGACACUCACGAAAGAAGACAACUAAAGCUGCUUCGAAAAUGUCAAGAAUGAUGGUGUGUGUAUGUGUGUGAGGCAAAAGGAAUAUCUUGAGUAGGAUUAAUGGUAAUAUCUUUUGCUAUAAUAAUUUUUUAAAUUAAUACAAUAAUUUAAAAAAUGAGCUUUAUCUGCCUCUCUUCUCUCUACCUGUCUAUACGGGUGACUUUCAACCUGCAAUUUAUGUUCGUUACAUCUUUUUCUCAAUUAAAUCUGAAGCUCUGGGCUCAAGAUUUUUUGCUCCCCUCUUUGUUCCUCCUUUUCCGCAAUGCCAUUUUCCAAGAUGGGGCCAGAGCUCUACUUGUACUGGAGGGAGGAGCAGGUGCUAUGCCUAUUUUAUUCAUCAGCUGUGAGGUCGCGCGCCCCGUGUGGUCCAUUAGGGGUUACUGAAUAGGCCUGGGGUGCGCAGUGAAUCGUACGUGGGCGGCCCCGUGGCUGCAGACUUCAGGACCUGCUUCUGCUGUGCCCUGUGUGGCCAGGUGUGGUCACCAGUCAUGCCCUGCAGUCACGGGGCAAGUCGUCUUGGUCCCACGGCAGGAAAGCCUACGUGCCAGCCACAACCUUGUCCACUGCGGGAGUCUUCAUGGCCGUCACGAUGUUCCACGCACCUUCAGCCCUGACUGUCACAGACCGACGACAGCUCUGGUGUGCAGCAGCAGGACCCGACCCUGCCUAGCUACAGCCUUGUGCCGGAGAUCACCCUCUUGGGCAUGGGUGAGCAGGGGCUCUCAGGAGCAGCCUGAAGGAGUCCUACAGCAGCACUGUCACUUUGGAAUCUAACUUUCAUGCCAUUUAGCUUUUCAAUCAUAGUUUCAUUCUCUUUAACGUUGUGAUAUGUUCUGUGAGAAUCCUUUAGCUUGAUAUUCCACCAUACUGACUUUUCUACUGAGCUCUCUUUUAAAUACAUUUUAAUUUUUUUUAGCAUGGAAAUUUUCAAACAUAUAUUAAAACAGGAAAAAAAUACUAUAAUGCAGUGCAUGUGUCUAUCAUUAAACUAUUGUAACAGUUAUUAACACAAGAUCAACUUCGGUUCAAUCUAUCAGCCCCUAC